Molecule: long non-coding RNA, 286 nt
Organism: Neopelma chrysocephalum (saffron-crested tyrant-manakin)
Lineage: Eukaryota; Metazoa; Chordata; Aves; Passeriformes; Pipridae
Exons: 2
Source: RefSeq, a predicted model, not a curated record
GCUUCGGCCGUGCGGUGGAGCCCGGGCGCAGGAUGGAGGCAGCUGCUGUGCCAGGCCCGCCCGUGCCCCGAGCGCAGCCCCGCGGAGCAGCUCGGGCCGUGCGUUGCCGGGGCUAAUUUCAAAUUACCUUUUUUGCAAAUCUGCACAGACCCCCGGAAAUGGGAACAGAAAAAAGCACAGGCACCAAGGUGUGUAACACAGCUGUUACUACAGAGACCUCUCAAGGAAGGGAAACCACGUGUGUGAUAAAGAGCCACAGUAGCAAUUAAAAUGAUCCUUAACUCGC